This 460-nucleotide ribosomal RNA is filed under the name uncultured bacterium. RNAcentral describes it as "partial 16S ribosomal RNA". It matches the Rfam family "Bacterial small subunit ribosomal RNA", at positions 338 to 795 of the family's 1533-position model. The record is from RNAcentral.
CCUACGGGAGGCAGCAGUGAGGAAUAUUGGUCAAUGGGCGCGAGCCUGAACCAGCCAAGUAGCGUGAAGGAUGACUGCCCUAUGGGUUGUAAACUUCUUUUAUAUGGGAAUAAAACAGGGUAUGCAUACCCUCUUGUAUGUACCAUAUGAAUAAGGAUCGGCUAACUCCGUGCCAGCAGCCGCGGUAAUACGGAGGAUCCGAGCGUUAUCCGGAUUUAUUGGGUUUAAAGGGAGCGUAGGUGGAUUGUUAAGUCAGUUGUGAAAGUUUGCGGCUCAACCGUAAAAUUGCAGUUGAAACUGGCAGUCUUGAGUACAGUAGAGGUGGGCGGAAUGCGUGGUGUAGCGGUGAAAUGCUUAGAUAUCACGAAGAACUCCGAUUGCGAAGGCAGCUCACUGGACUGCAACUGACACUGAUGCUCGAAAGUGUGGGUAUCAAACAGGAUUAGAUACCCCAGUAGUC